GGGGCUGUAGCUCAGUGAUAGAGCACUUGCCUACCAUGCAGGAGGCACUGGGUUCAAUCCACAGCACCA
RNAcentral lists this transfer RNA (69 nucleotides) under Ictidomys tridecemlineatus (thirteen-lined ground squirrel). RNAcentral describes it as "Spermophilus tridecemlineatus (thirteen-lined ground squirrel) tRNA". It matches the Rfam family "tRNA". Rfam says of the family: Transfer RNA (tRNA) molecules are approximately 80 nucleotides in length. Their secondary structure includes four short double-helical elements and three loops (D, anti-codon, and T loops). The record is from Rfam by way of RNAcentral. Lineage: Eukaryota; Metazoa; Chordata; Mammalia; Rodentia; Sciuridae.